UGCUCUGUCUGGUGUUUCCACCCAGCAGCAUCGUCCUCAUGAGGUGUUCAACAAGCUCUGCUACAGCAGUGCAGCGUUUGGCAGCAGUAGUUUUUGUUCCCCCGUGUCUGUUAAACCUGCUAUUUCUUUUGGAACAGUC
This is a small nucleolar RNA of Myiozetetes cayanensis, 139 nucleotides long. RefSeq annotates it as small nucleolar RNA SNORA8. The record is from RefSeq and is a predicted model, not a curated record. Lineage: Eukaryota; Metazoa; Chordata; Aves; Passeriformes; Tyrannidae. The transcript has a single exon.